GGGCAGGUAUGGUUACAUUGCGAGGGUCUGAAAAACCCUAGAACAUAGUUCGAUUCUAUGAAUGUCCA
RNAcentral lists this transfer RNA (68 nucleotides) under Crassvirales sp. Its description in RNAcentral is "tRNA-Phe". It matches the Rfam family "tRNA". Rfam says of the family: Transfer RNA (tRNA) molecules are approximately 80 nucleotides in length. The record is from RNAcentral. Lineage: Duplodnaviria; Heunggongvirae; Uroviricota; Caudoviricetes; Crassvirales.